This 465-nucleotide ribosomal RNA is filed under the name Vreelandella stevensii. Its description in RNAcentral is "partial 16S ribosomal RNA". It matches the Rfam family "Bacterial small subunit ribosomal RNA", at positions 338 to 795 of the family's 1533-position model. Lineage: Bacteria; Pseudomonadati; Pseudomonadota; Gammaproteobacteria; Oceanospirillales; Halomonadaceae. The record is from RNAcentral.
CCUACGGGAGGCUGCAGUGGGGAAUAUUGGACAAUGGGCGAAAGCCUGAUCCAGCCAUGCCGCGUGUGUGAAGAAGGCCUUCGGGUUGUAAAGCACUUUCAGUGGGGAAGAAAGCCUUGGGGCUAAUACCCUCGAGGAAGGACAUCACCCACAGAAGAAGCACCGGCUAACUCCGUGCCAGCAGCCGCGGUAAUACGGAGGGUGCGAGCGUUAAUCGGAAUUACUGGGCGUAAAGCGCGCGUAGGCGGUCUGAUAAGCCGGUUGUGAAAGCCCCGGGCUCAACCUGGGAACGGCAUCCGGAACUGGCAGGCUAGAGUGCAGGAGAGGAAGGUAGAAUUCCCGGUGUAGCGGUGAGAGGCGUAGAGAUCGGGAGGAAUACCAGUGGCGAAGGCGGCCUUCUGGACUGACACUGACGCUGAGGUGCGAAAGCGUGGGUAGCAAACAGGAUUAGAUACCCUGGUAGUC